Molecule: small RNA, 76 nt
Filed under: Xanthomonas floridensis
Lineage: Bacteria; Pseudomonadati; Pseudomonadota; Gammaproteobacteria; Lysobacterales; Lysobacteraceae
Description: sX9 sRNA
Rfam family: Xanthomonas sRNA sX9
Source: RNAcentral
AGGUACCACUCGUCCCCUUCGGUGCUGAGCGCGCCGUCCACACCACCUGACGACUGCUCGCUAGGGUCUGCGAGCC